UUAGAAGGCUGGUGGAUGCAUUUUCUAACCCAUUAACAGAGGUGUACCUCCUCUUCUACCAAGCAACAUUUCCAGCCUUCUCCACCUUAAACCUCCUACUCCAGAGAGAGAAGUCCUCAAUCUUCCUUCUACAUGAAGAGAUGACAAAGUUCAUCCGCAAGUUGUGUGCAAAGUUUCUGAAGCUUGCAGCACUGCAGAACCAAGGAGUUCAUGACAUCCAAUACAAGGACCCAUCAAACCAACUGCCAGGAGAAAAGCUGAACAUUGGCUUCAUUACUCGAGCUACGCUCAACAGGCU
This is a long non-coding RNA of Cololabis saira (Pacific saury), 298 nucleotides long. RefSeq lists it as uncharacterized. The transcript is spliced from 3 exons. The record is from RefSeq and is a predicted model, not a curated record. NCBI's taxonomy places the organism in Eukaryota, Metazoa, Chordata, Actinopteri, Beloniformes, Belonidae.